Molecule: ribosomal RNA, 253 nt
Filed under: uncultured bacterium
Lineage: Bacteria
Description: partial 16S ribosomal RNA
Rfam family: Bacterial small subunit ribosomal RNA
Source: RNAcentral
UACAGAGGCCUCGAGCGUUAGGCGGAAUCACUGGGCUUAAAGCGUGUGUAGGCGGGCCGUUAAGUACCUUGUGAAAUCCCCCGGCUCAACCGGGGAACGGCUGGGUAUACUGGCGGCCUUGAGAGGCCUAGGGGCGAGCGGAACAAGCGGUGGAGCGGUGAAAUGCGUAGAUAUCGCUUGGAACGCCGACGGUGAAAACAGCUCGCUGGGGGCCAUCUGACGCUGAGACACGAAAGCCAGGGGAGCGAACGGG